GCAGUCGAGCGGAUGAGUGGAGCUUGCUCCAUGAUUCAGCGGCGGACGGGUGAGUAAUGCCUAGGAAUCUGCCUGGUAGUGGGGGAUAACGUUUCGAAAGGAACGCUAAUACAGCAUACGUCCUACGGGAGAAAGUGGGGGAUCUUCGGACCUCACGCUAUCAGAUGAGCCUAGGUCGGAUUAGCUAGUUGGUGGGGUAAUGGCCCACCAAGGCGACGAUCCGUAACUGGUCUGAGAGGAUGAUCAGUCACACUGGAACUGAGACACGGUCCAGACACCUACGGGAGGCAGCAGUGGGGAAUAUUGGACAAUGGGCGAAAGCCUGAUCCAGCCAUGCCGCGUGUGUGAAGAAGGUCUUCGGAUUGUAAAGCAC
This 373-nucleotide ribosomal RNA is filed under the name Metapseudomonas otitidis. RNAcentral's name for it is "bacterial SSU rRNA". It matches the Rfam family "Bacterial small subunit ribosomal RNA", at positions 57 to 433 of the family's 1533-position model. Lineage: Bacteria; Pseudomonadati; Pseudomonadota; Gammaproteobacteria; Pseudomonadales; Pseudomonadaceae. The record is from RNAcentral.